RNAcentral lists this ribosomal RNA (36 nucleotides) under Mesochorus sp. SK-CA-2004a. RNAcentral's name for it is "partial 18S ribosomal RNA". Lineage: Eukaryota; Metazoa; Arthropoda; Insecta; Hymenoptera; Ichneumonidae. RNAcentral also lists the same sequence under 1 other name. The record is from RNAcentral.
UUUCCGUAGGUGAACCUGCGGAAGGAUCAUUAACGU